UCAAUGCCGGGAGAGAGUACGCACGGAUCGGACCGGAGAAAUGUUCGGAGAUGAUGAACCAAUGAAUGGAAGCGAAUCGGAAGCUCAAACAAAUCUGGACGGAAUCUCUAUCCGCCGACGGCGCAACGAGAGCUUGGAAGACGGAGAAUGCGUAAGAUUCCAGAGGACGACGAAAGUAAAGAGAGGUGAGACGACGAUCGGAGAGAGACUAGCGAAAGGAGGCGACUUGGGCGCGCGGGAGAGAGAGAAAG
Molecule: long non-coding RNA, 251 nt
Organism: Arabidopsis thaliana (thale cress)
Lineage: Eukaryota; Viridiplantae; Streptophyta; Magnoliopsida; Brassicales; Brassicaceae
Product: other RNA
Exons: 1
Source: RefSeq